UGUUACCUUGUUACGACUUCACCCCAGUCAUGAAANCNACCGUGGUAAGCGCCCUCCUUGCGGUUAGGCUACCUACUUCUGGCAGAUUCCACUCCCAUGGUGUGACGGGCGGUGUGUACAAGACCCGGGAACGUAUUCACCGCGACAUGCUGAUCCGCGAUUACUAGCGAUUCCGACUUCAUGCUCUCGAGUUGCAGAGAACAAUCCGGACUACGAUCGGCUUUCUGGGAUUGGCUCCACCUCGCGGCUUGGCAACCCUCUGUACCGACCAUUGUAUGACGUGUGAAGCCCUACCCAUAAGGGCCAUGAGGACUUGACGUCAUCCCCACCUUCCUCCGGUUUGUCACCGGCAGUCUCAUUAGAGUGCCCUUGCGUAGCAACUAAUGAUAAGGGUUGCGCUCGUUGCGGGACUUAACCCAACAUCUCACGACACGAGCUGACGACAGCCAUGCAGCACCUGUGUUCCGAUUCCCUUUCGGGCACUCCCGCAUCUCUGCAGGAUUCCGGACAUGUCAAGGGUAGGUAAGGUUUUUCGCGUUGCAUCGAAUUAAUCCACAUCAUCCACCGCUUGUGCGGGUCCCCGUCAAUUCCUUUGAGUUUUAAUCUUGCGACCGUACUCCCCAGGCGGUCAACUUCACGCGUUAGCUUC
Molecule: ribosomal RNA, 649 nt
Filed under: uncultured bacterium
Lineage: Bacteria
Description: partial 16S ribosomal RNA
Source: RNAcentral